UAUUAAAGGCGGAGUCCAUGAUGUUUGAAAGCCAGUGUUGAUAUUUGAAAUCGCCUAAACAAACACGCCCCUACCCCAAUAGAAUCUGGACCUUCUGUUGAUAGACCCGCCCCACACAUACGCAACCCGGCAUUUGAUUUGAUUUGAUUGGCUAUAAGUGUGUUUUGGUAGUCGGCCCGUCUCCUUUUCCAAACCGUUUUUCAAACAUCGUGGACUCCGCCUUUAAUAUCUGCUGGGUGAAUAUUAAUACGUAUAUGCUAACAUUAAUUUUGUGACCACAAAAUGACAGCGAGCUAUUAUACGAGAUAUUGUGUCGUCGUGUUUGUCUUCACUCACUUCAUCAUUAUCUGCAAACAACUUCUGCAACUACACAAUGAUUGUCUGCCUGUGUGCAAAAUAAAGCACGUUCACUGUGUAAAACCCCGCGCAGGGCAUUUUCAAAUUAACGGUCAGGGCGAGUCUGAGCUUAUCGUGUUGUGUUGACAGAGACUUUGCUGAGUGUAUGUAAAUCUGGGCUACAGUCCACGACAAAUUUUCUACGGUAGUUUUACGCCUGCAUGCUGGUCCUUUCGUCUAUCGCGGGGAUAUCAUCACUUCAGCGGACAUUGCACUGAAGAGAUCCUGUGCUUGCGUGGCGGUGUGUUUGUGUGCUCACUUGGAUUGAGACCAGCAGUGCUUUUUUAAACAGUGGAUUCUUUAUGACAUCAAGAUGUGGUUUGGGAAGGACCUUCAUCUAAAUCUGAAGACAGGACAUACUGGCUCAAAAAGGUGUUUCUGAUAUGGAGAAAAACCCUGCACUGCUCAUUUUAUUUCUUCAUCUUGAGAAUACAGCAAGUUUACCUUUUGUCUGGAAAAUGAUUCAGCAAAGCUAACACCAACAACAAUUUUUCAUGGCACUUUAAACCACCUUGAUGUGAGGAGCCAGCAUCAGAAUGGAUGGUGUCAAUAUCCUGAAAGUGGAGGUAACAGAGGUGGAUCUCAAGACUUGGCCAUGUUCUAGAUUAUAACUGGAUUAUCACAAGUGCUGUCGCCCCUGCUGUAUAUGACGCCCCCACCACCUACACCAGGUGUAGGAAAUGUCGGUCCUGGAGUGCCGUUGUCCUGCAGAGUUUUGCUCCAGCUCUAAACAAACACACCUGAACAACUAGAUCUGAAGAGUCACCAGAAAACUACAGGUAGGCGAGGUUUAAUCAGGGUUGGAAAUAAAAUCUGCAGGAUUUCGGCACUCCAGGACCGACGUUGCCUACUCCUGCCACCACCACCCAUACUACCUACAAAAAACUGUAUUGUAAUUAUGCUUGUAUGAUGUGGUUUUCUCAUUUAGGGUAACUACACUAUGGCAACAAUUGGAUACAUUGAUUGCUGACUGAUUUUGUUAUUUUUUCUUUACUUUUUGUUUAAAAUCUAAUCAUUUUUUUGUUAUUUUUGUUAAUAUUGUUACAAAUAUACAGUUAAAACUGCACAAUAAAUUUUCUGCUUUUAAAGAUAUAGUU
Long non-coding RNA from Paramisgurnus dabryanus, 1493 nucleotides. RefSeq lists it as uncharacterized. The record is from RefSeq and is a predicted model, not a curated record. NCBI's taxonomy places the organism in Eukaryota, Metazoa, Chordata, Actinopteri, Cypriniformes, Cobitidae.